RNAcentral lists this ribosomal RNA (207 nucleotides) under uncultured bacterium. RNAcentral describes it as "partial 16S ribosomal RNA". It matches the Rfam family "Bacterial small subunit ribosomal RNA", at positions 568 to 774 of the family's 1533-position model. The record is from RNAcentral.
UGUGUAGGCGGCGCCGUAAGUCAGGUGUGAAAUUUCGAGGCUUAACCUCGAAACUGCAUUUGAUACUGCGGUGCUUGAGGACUGGAGAGGAGACUGGAAUUUACGGUGUAGCGGUGAAAUGCGUAGAUAUCGUAAGGAAGACCAGUGGCGAAGGCGGGUCUCUGGACAGUUCCUGACGCUGAGACACGAAGGCCAGGGAGGCAAACG